UACGUAGGUGACCAGCGUUGUCCGGAUUUACUGGGCGUAAAAAGCGCGCAGGCGGUCGUUCAAGUCGAGUGUGAAAGCCCCCGGCUCAACUGGGGAGGGUCAUUCGAUACUGAUCGACUGGAAGGCAGGAGAGGGAAGCGGAAUUCCCGGUGUAGUGGUGAAAUGCGUAGAUAUCGUGAGGAACACCAGAGGCGAAGGCGGUUACCUGGACAAUUACUGACGCUCAGGCACGAAAGCAUGGGGAGCAAAAGGG
RNAcentral lists this ribosomal RNA (253 nucleotides) under uncultured bacterium. RNAcentral's name for it is "partial 16S ribosomal RNA". It matches the Rfam family "Bacterial small subunit ribosomal RNA", at positions 524 to 776 of the family's 1533-position model. The record is from RNAcentral.